This 388-nucleotide ribosomal RNA is filed under the name uncultured bacterium. RNAcentral describes it as "bacterial SSU rRNA". It matches the Rfam family "Bacterial small subunit ribosomal RNA", at positions 28 to 417 of the family's 1533-position model. The record is from RNAcentral.
GACGAACGCUGGCGGCGUGCUUAACACAUGCAAGUCGAACGGUAAGGCCCCUUCGGGGGUACGACGAGUGGCGAACGGGUGAGUAACACGUGAGCAACCUGCCCUUGACUUCGGAAUACCAGCUGGAAACAGCUGCUAAUACCGGAUAUGACCUUGGCCCUCAUGGGUUGAGGUGGAAAGCUCCGGCGGUCAGGGAUGGGCUCGCGGCCUAUCAGCUUGUUGGUGAGGUAAUGGCUCACCAAGGCUUCGACGGGUAGCCGGCCUGAGAGGGCGACCGGCCACACUGGGACUGAGAUACGGCCCAGACUCCUACGGGAGGCAGCAGUGGGGAAUACUGCACAAUGGGCGCAAGCCUGAUGCAGCAACGCCGCGUGCGGGAUGACGGCCU